GACGAACGCUGGCGGCGUGCUUAACACAUGCAAGUCGAACGGAAAGGCCUCUUUCGGGGGGUACUCGAGUGGCGAACGGGUGAGUAACACGUGAGUAACCUGCCCUUGACUUUGGGAUAACUUCAGGAAACUGGGGCUAAUACCGGAUAGGAGCUCCUGCUGCAUGGUGGGGGUUGGAGAGUUUCGGCGGUUGGGGAUGGACUCGCGGCUUAUCAGCUUGUUGGUGGGGUAGUGGCUUACCAAGGCUUUGACGGGUAGCCGGCCUGAGAGGGUGACCGGCCACAUUGGGACUGAGAUACGGCCCAGACUCCGACGGGAGGCAGCAGUGGGGAAUAUUGCACAAUGGGUGGAAGCCUGAUGCAGCAACGCCGUGUGCGGGAUGACGGACUUCGGGUUGUAAACCGCUUUCGCUCAUGACGAAGCUUUGUGUGACGGUAGUGGGUAAAGAAGCACCGGCUAACUACGUG
This 467-nucleotide ribosomal RNA is filed under the name uncultured bacterium. Its description in RNAcentral is "partial 16S ribosomal RNA". It matches the Rfam family "Bacterial small subunit ribosomal RNA", at positions 28 to 507 of the family's 1533-position model. The record is from RNAcentral.